RNAcentral lists this ribosomal RNA (510 nucleotides) under uncultured bacterium. RNAcentral describes it as "partial 16S ribosomal RNA". It matches the Rfam family "Bacterial small subunit ribosomal RNA", at positions 28 to 507 of the family's 1533-position model. The record is from RNAcentral.
GACGAACGCUGGCGGCGUGCUUAACACAUGCAAGUCGAACGAAGAGCGAUGGAAGCUUGCUUCUAUCAAUCUUAGUGGCGAACGGGUGAGUAACGCGUAAUCAACCUGCCCUUCAGAGGGGGACAACAGUUGGAAACGACUGCUAAUACCGCAUACGAUCUAAUCUCGGCAUCGAGGAUAGAUGAAAGGUGGCCUCUACAUGUAAGCUAUCACUGAAGGAGGGGAUUGCGUCUGAUUAGCUAGUUGGAGGGGUAACGGCCCACCAAGGCGAUGAUCAGUAGCCGGUCUGAGAGGAUGAACGGCCACAUUGGGACUGAGACACGGCCCAGACUCCUACGGGAGGCAGCAGUGGGGAAUCUUCCGCAAUGGACGAAAGUCUGACGGAGCAACGCCGCGUGAGCGAUGACGGCCUUCGGGUUGUAAAGCUCUGUUAAUCGGGACGAAAGGUCUUCUUGCGAAUAGUGAGAAGGAUUGACGGUACCGGAAUAGAAAGCCACGGCUAACUACGUG